Amphiprion ocellaris (clown anemonefish) is the source of this 4219-nucleotide long non-coding RNA. RefSeq lists it as uncharacterized. The transcript has 2 exons. The record is from RefSeq and is a predicted model, not a curated record. Lineage: Eukaryota; Metazoa; Chordata; Actinopteri; Pomacentridae.
GUCAAAGGAACACUGAGACCUGAUGUAACACUUGUGUGAUUCUCCCCUUUGAAACUUCAAACUCCAGUUUGUGAACAAAGUCCUGUCUAUCUUCUGAAUAGGAAUCUCCGACCACUGACCAAACUCCAUUUGUAACCGCUGCCUAUUUGUACCUUCUCCUCAAUGACUACAUUUCAUUUCCCCAAGUCCGAUCUCAAAGGCAAGCGCCAGGAAGGCAACACAGUAAAAUAACACUCAGGAGCCAGCAGCUGGGAGGAAAAAAAAAGACGAUCAUGGUGGGCUGGAAGAGUUAAUAAGAUGUGGAAUAUAAACUCUCCGGGGACUUAUUUUGUUUCUUUCUGAGAGAGCUACAGCACAGUGGAAAUGUGAGGCACAUCCAGGAGCGUGUUGAUGUUGAUAAGAGCAAAAACAGAAGGAGACAAUGUGCUGCCUGCAGCAGAUUUGAGGCCAGCAGAAAAAGGCUGCUGCAGUAGAUGGAGGAGAUAGAGUAGUUGCAGACCAGCAGUGUUGCUUCUCUCCAGAUGCUGCCAAACACAUGCAUGUUGGAGCAUUUCCUGACAGCACAUCCCACUCUACUGGUGCUCGCCCAAACCAUCUAAGAGAAACCAGCACACAUGUUUUGAUGCUCAUAUGCACAAAGUGAAACCAUACAUACACAAGAGACAAACUCAUCCGAAAACUCUGUUAUCUAUACUCCAGUUAAUCCUCAUUAUGGUCACGGGAAGGUUGGAAUCUAUCCCAGCUGACACAAUGGACAGGUCACCGGUCUAUCACAGGGCUACAUAUAGAGACAAACAAGCUGCUCACAUUCACACCUACAGACAGUUUCUAAUUACCAGUGAACCUCAGCAUGUUUUUGGACUGUGGGAGGAAGCCAGAGAACCCGGAGAAAACCCACACAUGCACAGGGAGAACAUGCAAACUCCAUGCAGAAAGAUCCCAGGAAGGCCGGGAUGCGAACCAGGGAUCUUCUAGCUGCAAGGUGACAGUGCUAACCACCGAGCCCCUGUAAACUUAUUAUGCAAAAAUGUCCACAACAAUAAUCACAUUUCAUCUAACCCUUCUGACAUAACCCUUUUUAACGGCACCAAUCUGUCUCCUCCAUUUACAGCAAUCAUAAAACUGAUGAAUAUUUCAGCCACUUUCUGUUUUUGUAUAAAGAGCUGCUGUAUAAACAGAUGCAGAGUCACUGAAUGAGUGAACUUAGCUCAGGCAGCAUAUUGCUGGCUGCAAAUAAACCGGAGGAUUAUUUUAUUUGUCACUGACAGAUUCCAAAUAACCAAAAUAAAUUGAAUGUUUUUAUGGUUUAGGCUCACCCUCAAACCCACCACUAUUCUGUUCAUCAAAACUGAUGUAUUGGUCCUGCUAGGCAGAGGAUUUUGUUGAGGAAAAGAAAGCCUGGAUAGAGAGAUGUUACGACUGUCAGUGGCAUCUCAUGCAAAAUCCACCACUUUUAUGCAUUUAUUUUUAUUUUGGACAUUAAAUUUCUUAAGGGCAGAAGUAAAUUAAACUAAAUGUAAAUCUCACAAGAGGGAAAGUUCUCUCCUCUCUCAAAAAUGCACUAUAACCACCCUCCUCCACCCAAAUAAUAUUAUAUAGUUCCUAAUAAACUAAUACAAAAUGAUGAAGUUGGGAGAUUUUCAGGGGCUGAUGCCAUUAUUUUUGGGAAAACAAAUACACUGAUGUCCUUUAGUGUUCAGUGUAUAGUAGUAAAUGUGCCUGUUUCAGUGUGUGCAGAACUGUGCAAAAUUUGCUGGUACUUUAGUUUCCUAUCCAUCAUGCAUCACCGUCAAACUAUAUCUGAUCAGACCCAAAGACAUUCUGUGGAAUAACAUAAACUUCAAACAUGACAAUAAAAAUCUUCAGCCACAUGCAGAACAAGGACACCCACACAGGUACUGAGGCCCCAUAGAGCUUUAUAUGUCUGGAUAUCAUGGAGUCAGUCUGAGAUUACACACUGAGACUGUCUGAAUCCACAGAAAAACUGAAGUUCUCCAAGAUGCUGCCCCAACCUACCUGCCAAGUAAAACUAUGUGUUAAAGUCAGAAAGCUGAAAAGUAUUGAUUUCAUUUAGGUUUCUCCAGUUUUCAAGUCUUUGUAUGAUGAAUUUAACUGCCCAUGUCAUUAUUUUUUUCACAUUUUCUGCAUUUUAGGAAACAUCUCCUCAUUAUCAUACAUCGUGUUUAAUUUGAUCUAAGCCGUGACGCAGUCAAUGUACCUGAGUGUAGUGAGAGCACACAGAUCCAGUGCAUCUGUUGGGGUAGGAGAAAUGAUGCCUCUCAUUGUGCCAGGACCUGACCAUAUCUGUGAUGGACUGGUACCUGCCGCAUUAAAUCUCUCAUUAGCAUAUAGUACAUGCAGUACAAAACAGCUCUCUGUUGUAUUUUUCACACAGGGUCCAUCAUCAUUUUAAUCUGUAUUCACUGCAGACUGUAAAUCUGACAGCUCUGCAAAACCUUCCUGAAGUGAUUGACAGGUUCUGGCCCAUAUAUUUCAUGGCUUGUGUCGGCCCGUGAUCCCAAACGCAUCGUGAAGCCCAAGAGUCGGCUGACCUAGCAAGUGCCUCAUCCCACAGCUGUAUAAGUAACAGAGAGAGAGGAUAAGAGAGGGGAUGUUAAUUUCACUCUGCUCAGUAAGAAGAAGAGAAAAAAAAAGCAGUAACAACACCGUCAUUUCUAAGAUAGGAAAACUCUGCAUUCAAAGCAAACUAUGCCGGUGAAUUUGCCCCUGGCAAUUACUAUAUAUUGUCCUUGUGGGUUAUUGUUACCAAUGGCCACACAUGUAAACAGCAUUUUAUUGUAAUUGGUGGUGCUAAUUUCACCUGGAAGAUCUACCACACAUUUCAUGUGCAGACUGUGGAUAACUAUCAUUAACUAGAUGCUACAGAACCAGCAAAUGUAAGAACAACUUCCACUUCCGUUACAAUGCUUUAAAAAAAAGCUGCUCAGUCUGAACUAUUGAUUAUUCUGGCCACACACAUCUACAAGGUUGAUCCCUGGACAAUAAAAUAUAUCUUAUCUUAUCUUAUCUUAUCUUAUCUUAUCUUAUCUUAUCUUAUCUUAUCUUAUCUUAUUUUAAUCUGUUUUAUAUUGUUGGGUGGUUCAAUUGUCUGGUGAACAGUGAACUAAAGCAAAAAAAAAAAAAAUUAAUAAAAUUUAAAUAAAAGUAGAUGUUCAAUUAAUGUAGUGGAGUCAAAUAUAACAUUUCCCUCUCAAAUGGGGUGAACUACAUGUUCAAAGCAACACAAAGUACCUCAAAGUUGGAUUUAGCCUGAUUUAGCAUAAUGUGGUUUUAUGCUAAGACAUCCUAAAAUUAUGAAUGUGGUUUUCUUGAAAUCAUCUUAAUUGGAUGGGUGUCAUUGUCGUUGCAUGUUUGUUGCACUGUUUUCUUGUUGUUUGGGUGUGUUACCCCUUAAUGCAAUAUUGUGUUUUUCUUUGUAGCAGCCGUAUCUUUUGCAUUCUUUUUCUGUAGAAUCCUGCCUCACUUGCACCACGUAUAACUGUAGAAAAAAUAAAUCACAUUGUGGAGAGUACCAUGUGUGUCUGGUCUGAUGCACCUUCCAGCAUCUCACCAUGUACUCCAUAUCAGCAGCAGGCGGGGAGACCUGAGAGCGAACUCGGUUGUGGUAAUCCAGCAGGGCGUUCAAGUCUCUGGCUGAAAUGGCUCGCCUACGUCUGCUGCGAGACACACCCUCAGCUCCACUGAACAUCCUCAAGUCAGACUGUAUCUCAGCUGCGGCUCUGGUCGUGUUGAGCAGCUCUGUGGAGUCUGACAGCACAGCAGCAGCAGCUCCCAUGUGAGGCAUCGUCCACAGGGUGGCAGCCAACAGGAGCUGAACAGCAGCAGCAGCAGCAGCCAUUUGAGCCCUGAGGAGGAGGCAGUGAGGACAAUCAGUGAAGGAAGCUCCAUGUAAAUGACUAAUUUGGUGCAGAUUUCAGCUUAAUUAACCUCAUAACAAGCAGUUCCCCAGUUUUUACAUAAGCAGUGUCCAUAAAUCACAUUUUAUGAGGAGCUAAAAGCUCAUAUUGUCAGUUAGCAAUAAGAUGAUUAACAUUGUUUUUUGUUUUGUUUUUGUUGUUGGUCUUCUGAUAUUAAACAAAAAAAAUCUCAGUGAGUAUAUAGCACUCAAGAAGUAAUUACAUAAUCCUGCAAAUUUUCCUGCAUAAAAUAACAAGAAAACAUGAGAAAUUUCCAAUAUACAGUCACAAUGUACCGAAAA